Molecule: ribosomal RNA, 963 nt
Filed under: Rossellomorea aquimaris
Lineage: Bacteria; Bacillati; Bacillota; Bacilli; Caryophanales; Bacillaceae
Description: bacterial SSU rRNA
Rfam family: Bacterial small subunit ribosomal RNA
Source: RNAcentral
GCAACGCCGCUGAGUGAUGAAWGUUUUYGGAUCGUAAAGCUUCUGUUGUUAGGGAAGACAAGUGCCGUUCGAAUAGGGCGGCACCUUGACGGKACCUUACCCAGAAAGCCSSGGSUWACUACGUGCCAGCAGCCGCGGUAAUACGUAGGUGGCAAGCGUUGUCCGGAAUUAUUGGGCGUAAAGCGCGGCGCAGGUGGUUCCUUAAGUCUGAUGUGAAAGCCCACGGCUCAACCGUGGAGGGUCAUUGGAAACUGGGGAACUUGAGUGCAGAAGAGGAAAGUGGAAUUCCAAGUGUAGCGGUGAAAUGCGUAGAUAUUUGGAGGAACACCAGUGGCGAAGGCGACUUUCUGGUCUGUAACUGACACUGAGGCGCGAAAGCGUGGGGAGCAAACAGGAUUAGAUACCCUGGUAGUCCACGCCGUAAACGAUGAGUGCUAAGUGUUAGGGGGUUUCCGCCCCUUAGUGCUGCAGCUAACGCAUUAAGCACUCCGCCUGGGGAGUACGGUCGCAAGACUGAAACUCAAAGGAAUUGACGGGGGCCCGCACAAGCGGUGGAGCAUGUGGUUUAAUUYGAAGCAACGCGAAGAACCUUACCAGGUCUUGACAUCCUCUGACAACCCUAGAGAUAGGGCUUUCCCCUUCGGGGGACAGAGUGACAGGUGGUGCAUGGUUGUCGUCAGCUCGUGUCGUGAGAUGUUGGGUUAAGUCCCGCAACGAGCGCAACCCUUGAUCUUAGUUGCCAGCAUUCAGUUGGGCACUCUAAGAUGACUGCCGGUGACAAACCGGAGGAAGGUGGGGAUGACGUCAAAUCAUCAUGCCCCUUAUGACCUGGGCUACACACGUGCUACAAUGGACGGUACAAAGGGCAGCGAGACCGCGAGGUUUAGCCAAUCCCAUAAAACCGUUCUCAGUUCGGAUUGUAGGCUGCAACUCGCCUACAUGAAGCUGGAAUCGCUAGUAAUC